UAAGGAAUAUUGGUCAAUGGACGAAAGUCUGAACCAGCCAUGCCGCGUGGAGGAUGAAGGUCCUCUGGAUUGUAAACUUCUUUUAUCUGGGACGAAAAAAGGUCUUUCUAGAUCGUCUGACGGUACCAGAUGAAUAAGCACCGGCUAACUCCGUGCCAGCAGCCGCGGUAAUACGGAGGGUGCAAGCGUUAUCCGGAUUCACUGGGUUUAAAGGGUGCGUAGGUGGGUUGGUAAGUCAGUGGUGAAAUCUUCGAGCUUAACUCGGAAACUGCCAUUGAUACUAUCAGUCUUGAAUAUUGUGGAGGUUAGCGGAAUAUGUCAUGUAGCGGUGAAAUGCUUAGAUAUGACAUAGAACACCAAUUGCGAAGGCAGCUGGCUACACAUAUAUUGACACUGAGGCACGAAAGCGUGGGGAUCAAACAGGAUUAGAUACCCUGGUAGUCCACGCCCUAAACUAUGGAUACUCGACAUACGCGAUACACUGUGUGUGUCUGAGCG
RNAcentral lists this ribosomal RNA (498 nucleotides) under uncultured bacterium. Its description in RNAcentral is "partial 16S ribosomal RNA". It matches the Rfam family "Bacterial small subunit ribosomal RNA", at positions 355 to 853 of the family's 1533-position model. The record is from RNAcentral.